RNAcentral lists this long non-coding RNA (2925 nucleotides) under Malus domestica (apple). Its description in RNAcentral is "long non-coding RNA (MDOM_LNC014317)". Lineage: Eukaryota; Viridiplantae; Streptophyta; Magnoliopsida; Rosales; Rosaceae. The record is from RNAcentral.
GUGGUUUGAUUCACCAGUACCAGGAAUCACCUGGAAUUUGGCUUUUGUGAUGACCUUUUAACUUGUCAUAUUAAUAUGUUUUUAGUGCAUGGGUAUUAUGCAAAGAAAUAGCAACAAUAUUGUAUAUAAAAAGAUAAUUAUAUCCUUAAAAUAUUAAUAUUUGUGUAAUCAGCAUACUUAAUUCACCUCUAAAUUAUACUCCCUACCCAAAUCACAAAGAUCCUUACCAGAAACAGCUUCAGAAUAUUCUGGAAAAUCUAUUUGGGUCCCACUAUUGUAAGGGCUCCACUCAGCUCAACUCAAAACCAUUUUUAUGGAUUUAUUAAUUAUGUAUAAAAACCAUUCUCUUAUUUUUUUAUUUAUAUUUCAUACUUAUUAUGUUCAAAAUAUACGGUUUAUUUUUCACGUUAACGUAAUAGAUAGGUCUAGUUUGUAGGUGCCGUGAUUUUUUUUGUCUGACCUCCCCAUCUUAUACUUUUCUCAUCCCGUCAUAUUUAUGUGGUCAUGAUUAAACCACGUCAACAUUUUAUAUUGAUUUUUUUAUAGAAAUAAUAAAACAAAAAACAAUAGGAAUAUAAAAUGUUGACGUGGUUUAACCGUGACCACAGAAAUAGGAUGAGAUGAAAUGGGGGAGGGCAAACAAUCCAGGUCCUUUUUUUUACGAAAAGGGAUCCUCUCCGGAUCCCUUCCACCAAAUCCAUUAAUUUGGGUCUUUAAAAUAUAAUCUAACGGCUAAAGUUAUUAUAAAUUUUAAAAUGAACCUCUGUUUUUAACUGUUGAAUCAAAUUUCAAGGGUCCGGAUUAAUGAAUUUGGUAGAUUUGGUGAAAUAAAUCUAGAGAGUAUCCGUUUUCUUUUUUUUACAACUGCUUCUGUUAUGUUGUAACAAUAAAGCUAUGAAAAAAGCAGGUAAGUAUUUUGUACUCUAGUGCUAAAAAUACUUUUAGCAAAAAAUCAAGAAAGGUAGUAUUGUUGAUAUGAAAGUUUCAUUAAAAGCUGUUUGUACCAUACUUGACCAAUCCCGAAACUACUGAGUACCGGUCAACGUUAUACCGUCAAUGACCCAGAAGAGUUUCCCUCCAACCAGGAGGCCAAUCAUAGCGCGACACGUGUCAAAAUCAGAAACCAAUCAUAACGCGACAUGUGUCAACAUCAGAAGCCAAUCACAACACGAUACGUGUCAAUAUCAGAAUGAAACUAGAAACUCUCUUCUAUAAAUAUAGAUCAUUCUCUCACAAUAUUUCCUAAUGUCAUUUGUACUCAAUCAUUCACUAGUACUCACUAAAGGAGAGCUUGAACCUAUGUACUUGUGUAAACCUUCAUAAUUAAUGAGAACUCUUCUACUCCAUGGACGUAGCCAAUCUGGGUGAACCACGUACAUCUUGUGUUUGCUUCCUUAUCUCUAUUCAUUUACAUACUUAUCCACACUAAUGACCAGAGCAAUCUAGCGAAGGUCACAAACUUAACACUUUCUGUUGUAUUAAAGUCUUCACUGAUUUUGUGCAUCAACAAAAGCUAUUGUUCAUUUGCCUCCUAUAAAAAAUAACAUAUUUUUAGAAGCAUAACUAAAGUUGCUUUUGCCGUCUAUUGUUUGAGCCCCAUAAUUUUGUAGGAAAAAAAAAACACUUCUACCAAACACAAUUUUUAGCUCCAACUUUUUUUAAGAACUUGAAGUGUUUUUGGAGUCUAAGACCAUUUUUUCUGGGCUAAAUAGCCAAAAUAGUUUCUGAGAUUUGCAUAACUCAUCACUUUGGUCCCUAACAUUUCAAAUCGAUAAAAGUGGUCCCUGAGAUUGUCCACCAUCCAUCAAUUUGGUCAUUUCAUUAAAAACUCCGUUAAGUAUCCCAGAGCUCUUGGCCAGAAGUUUGGGCAAUUUUCAAAACUUUGUAACUCAAUCGUUUCUUAACCAAAUUCAACCCAUAAUAUAUCAAAAUGAAAAUAGGAAAGUGUAGAAUAAGAUUAUACCUAUUUGGAAGCCCAAUGGCUGCCGGAGAUGGUCGGAAAAUAACCUCAAAGUUGAUUCGUCCGAGGGAAAACUGGAAAACUUGCCAUAAACUGGGUAAACUUUAAACGUUCAUAACUUCUUCAAUACUCAACGAAAUCAAGUGAUUCAAAAACUAAAAUCAUUCUUCUCGAUAAGACGAAAAGAAUGGUACAUUUUUUGACGGCUAACUCGCUGUGAUUUGGCCGACUCGAAAGUGGAUGUCUUGGUCUUGAGUUAGCCUGAUUUGUAUAAUCUUCUCGAAAAUGAUUUGUGCACGCCUCUUUUCUCUUUCAGCACGUCUUUGUUUAUUUUUGUGCAUUGAUUCUCAUUUGGAUUAUUUAAUUUAAUAGUUAGAAAUGUACAACGGAGAAAAUGGAUUCACGAAAAUCACAUUCCACUAAUUUGCUAAUUUAUUUAUUUUCUUUGAAAAGGGGACUAUGACUUCGUCAAAUCAGCUCAUCUUUUUGGAGACUGAGAAGACUCACAGAGAUGUUUCAACCAUUUCUUGGCCACGGUUGUGUGAUUUGAAUUUGAUUCACUAGUGCUAGGAAUCACUUGAAAUUUGUCUCUUGUGAUGACCUUUCAACUUGUCAUAUUCAUAUGCUGCAAAGAAAUUAUAUCCUUAAAAUAUUAAUAUUUGUGUAAUCAGCAUACUUAAUUCACCUCUAAAUUAUACUCCCUACCCAAAUCACAAAAAGAUCCUUUACCAGAAACAGGUUCAGAAUAUUCUGGAAAAUCUAUUUGGGUCCCACUAUUGUAAGGGCUCCAUUCAGCUCAACUCAAGACCAUUUUUAUGGAUUUAUUAAUUAUGUAUAAAAACCAUUCUCUUAUUUUUUAUAUUUCAUACUUAUUAUGUUCAAAAUAUACGGUUUAUUUUGCACGUUAACGUAAUAGCUAGGUCUAGUUUCUAGGUGCCGUGAUUUUUUUUUACGGGAAGGGAUCC